This 364-nucleotide long non-coding RNA is filed under the name Zostera marina. RNAcentral describes it as "long non-coding RNA (ZMAR_LNC004612)". The record is from RNAcentral. Lineage: Eukaryota; Viridiplantae; Streptophyta; Magnoliopsida; Alismatales; Zosteraceae.
AAGGUUUUUUCACUCCACAUUUGAGUUCAUAAGUGUUCUUGCUUCCAAGUUUCCAAGCUUCCAAAGUUCUCAAGUGUUCUAGCUUUCCAAAGCUUCAAAAGCUCUCCAACUUCUUCUUCUAAUAUUCUUGUUCAUCUCUACAAGUAAGAAGUGUUGUUUUCUUAAUAUUCUACUCCUAUAAUCAUCUCUUGUGUGUGUCCACUUUGGUUGAGAGGUUUGUCUCAAGAUCACCAAAGUGUGAGAGAGUUUUUGAGCUAAACCAAAAAGCUUUAAGUUUGAUUUUAUAGAGUUUCCGAGAAAACUCUUAGGUCGAAUCUACCUUGAAAGAUUUUUAGAUUUUUAAAAGUUUCUUGAUACUCUAAGA